This 396-nucleotide ribosomal RNA is filed under the name uncultured bacterium. RNAcentral's name for it is "bacterial SSU rRNA". It matches the Rfam family "Bacterial small subunit ribosomal RNA", at positions 975 to 1375 of the family's 1533-position model. The record is from RNAcentral.
CAGGACUUGACAUCCUUCUGACAGGACCUUAACCGGUCCCUCCUUCGGGCAGAAGAGACAGGUGGUGCAUGGUUGUCGUCAGCUCGUGUCGUGAGAUGUUGGGUUAAGUCCCGCAACGAGCGCAACCCUUGUCAUUAGUUGCCAUCAUUUAGUUGGGCACUCUAGUGAGACUGCCGGGGAUAACUCGGAGGAAGGUGGGGACGACGUCAAAUCAUCAUGCCCCUUAUGUCCUGGGCUACACACGUGCUACAAUGGCUGGUACAAAGAGACGCAAGAUCGCGAGGUGGAGCAAAUCUUCAAAACCAGUCCCAGUUCGGAUUGUAGGCUGAAACUCGCCUGCAUGAAGUCGGAGUUGCUAGUAAUCGUGAAUCAGAAUGUCACGGUGAAUGCGUUCCC